This 463-nucleotide ribosomal RNA is filed under the name uncultured bacterium. RNAcentral's name for it is "partial 16S ribosomal RNA". It matches the Rfam family "Bacterial small subunit ribosomal RNA", at positions 28 to 506 of the family's 1533-position model. The record is from RNAcentral.
GACGAACGCUGGCGGCGUGCUUAACACAUGCAAGUCGAACGGAAAGGCCCUGCUUGCAGGGUACUCGAGUGGCGAACGGGUGAGUAACACUUGGGUGAUCUGCCCUGCACUUCGGGAUAAGCCUGGGAAACUGGGUCUAAUACCGGAUAGGAGCCAUUUUUAGUGUGAUGGUUGGAAAGUUUUUUCGGUGUAGGAUGAGCUCGCGGCCUAUCAGCUUGUUGGUGGGGUAAUGGCCUACCAAGGCGGCGACGGGUAGCCGGCCUGAGAGGGUGGACGGCCACAUUGGGCCUGGGAAACGGCCCAGACCCCUACGGGGGGCAGGAGUGGGGAAUUUUGCACAAGGGGCGAAAGCCUGAUGCAGGGACGCCGGGGGGGGGAUGACGGCCUUCGGGUUGUAAACUCCUUUCGCUGGGGACGAAGCUUUUGGGACGGUACCAAAAAAAGAAGCCCCGGCUAACUACGU